GUGGGGAAUAUUGGUCAAUGGGGGAAACCCUGAACCAGCAACGCCGCGUGAAGGAAGAAGGCUUUCGGGUUGUAAACUUCUUUGACAGGGGACGAAGACAGUGACGGUACCCUGAAAACAAGCCACGGCUAACUACGUGCCAGCAGCCGCGGUAAUACGUAGGUGGCGAGCGUUGUCCGGAUUUACUGGGUGUAAAGGGCGUGUAGGCGGGAUGGUAAGUCAGAUGUGAAAUCUGUGGGCUUAACCCACAAACUGCAUUUGAAACUAUCGUUCUUGAGUGAUGGAGAGGCAGGCGGAAUUCCGUGUGUAGCGGUGAAAUGCGUAGAUAUACGGAGGAACACCAGUGGCGAAGGCGGCCUGCUGGACAUUAACUGACGCUGAGGCGCGAAAGCGUGGGGAGCAAACAGGAUUAGAAACCCUGGUAGUCC
This 428-nucleotide ribosomal RNA is filed under the name uncultured bacterium. RNAcentral describes it as "partial 16S ribosomal RNA". It matches the Rfam family "Bacterial small subunit ribosomal RNA", at positions 354 to 796 of the family's 1533-position model. The record is from RNAcentral.